Molecule: unclassified non-coding RNA, 936 nt
Filed under: Drosophila yakuba
Lineage: Eukaryota; Metazoa; Arthropoda; Insecta; Diptera; Drosophilidae
Description: GE27982
Source: RNAcentral
UUCGCCUUGUUUGCGUUUGAAUUUGACAAAAUGCGUGGCUGGCAUUUGGCUGAUAACGUGGCUAGAUGGCUAGCACUGCCCUUAAAGCCCGCUCAACAAAUGGCCAGAAAACGUUUGAAAAGCGUGGCUCCAGAAAAAACCUCAAGAUGCUGGCGGAAAAGAAAAAAUUGUUCUUGACCUAGAAACAAAAGCAGGCACAGAACGAUGACGACACCAGGCCGGGGAAAAUGAGGAGAAAACCCCAGCGACGACGUCACCAAAAAGACCAAGACACGAGGAAAGGAAAGCGAACCAAACAAAAAUUAAAAUUAAAACAAGGACACAAAAAAAAAGCGUCAUCGUCCUUGGCUAACAGAGAGUGUGGGAGAGGGAGAGGGCAAUAGCAACAGCCGCCAGCUGUGGGCCAGGCCAAAAAGAAAAGCGGGAAAAAGCAGGCAGAACUGGGUUAAUAAGCAAAACGCAGACGACGAUGAUGAGGAAAAACGAUGAUGAUGAGCAUGGCAACGAAGUGCAUAAUCAACAAGAGAGCAAAAUUGUGGGUGCGAACUUUACUCAUUUUCAUUUAGGUUCCCGAGGAGCACAAACUUUUCUCGUUCCCAGCAUGCCACUGUAUGAGUAUAUGUGUGUGUGGGUGUGUGUGUGUGGGUGAGUAUCUGUGUGUGCAAGGACGACUCCUUGCUGUUUUUAAUUUCAUUGCAAAAGGAAAUGAACGAAGGCAGGCAAAAUGGAGAGCCGGGCAAGAGAGAAAACCUCAAGGAGCGCGAAAAUGAAGCCAAAGACACUGCCAUCCACAGUCUGGGCGCCAAGUUUUCCCGGCUUUCACCGCCAUUCACCCCCUAUCCCCAUCCCCUCGCUGUUUUUCCCACCCCCUCGCUACACCCCCGCAGGCUAAAUUAGCUGCAGCAGCCGCGCGACAUUAAAAAGUUUGCCGGGUUC